GUUGAGGCUGCUAUGAAAAUGUGGCAGUGUUAAUUUUCUUAAUAAUCCCACCUGGGACCCUGCCUACUCCCUAUGCCCAAAGGGAUCCUGUGCUGCAACUUGGAUGCAACAGAACUCUGCUAAUUGACACAUCACCUUCCUCCUGUCUGCUGCCUGUUCUAGAGAACUUUGCUAGAAAAAUUGUUCUAGAAGACUUACCUAUUGAAAGACUCCAAUCUUUAUGGCAAGCUCUUCAAGGCUUAUUUAGGGGCAAGUCAACAAUAUAGUUUGUUCUACUGCAAUUCUCGAUCACAGCUUCUAAAACAGCUGCUGGGUUGAUGAUGCCUACUCUAAGAACAUCAGCUGUCAAACCCCCUCAAUCCUGGCAGAUAUUGAAAAUGCAAGUUCCACUAAUAAAUAUCCUUUCCCUUUUAAAUUGCUACUUUUUGUUGUCCUUCAGCAUAUGGACAAAUUUGUUUUGCAGUCAUAUCAGCUUGCUAUCUGUCAGGCUGCUCUUUUCCUACUCCACCAAAUCAAAGUUUCUCAAAGGAUUGUUACAGAUUUAACUGCUGGUCAAAGAAUGUCUUCAGGGCCACUUCAGGUUCAUGGAACUACAAUUACACUCUGGAAUGUUGCCUAGACCAUCCAAUUUUGAAGUCUGUUUGUGUUUGGUUUAUGUGAUUUUUUGUACACAUUAUGCUGGGAACUAUUUUGAUGAAUUCCUCAGUCCAAAAUUUCUUCCACUUGUUAAAUGUACAGUUUGCUGGAUCCAUGUACUGGGAAUAAAUAUAAUCACAUGCAAAAUACACCCCAAAGUUUUUCAGCAUGCUUUAUCAAUUAUUUCUAAUUACAGACAAAUAUUUUGAAGAGAUAUUUCAAAACAAAUCAAAAGGGGCAAUACAGU
This is a long non-coding RNA of Zonotrichia leucophrys gambelii, 883 nucleotides long. RefSeq lists it as uncharacterized. The record is from RefSeq and is a predicted model, not a curated record. Lineage: Eukaryota; Metazoa; Chordata; Aves; Passeriformes; Passerellidae. The transcript is spliced from 4 exons.